This is a long non-coding RNA of Aphis gossypii (cotton aphid), 395 nucleotides long. RefSeq lists it as uncharacterized. Lineage: Eukaryota; Metazoa; Arthropoda; Insecta; Hemiptera; Aphididae. The record is from RefSeq and is a predicted model, not a curated record. The transcript is spliced from 3 exons.
UAUAUAGUCAGCAGUACGUUCAGUAUGCCUACAACAUCGAUAUCGACCACAUCAAAAUUUAAGAUUUAGUGUUGUAAUUUGAAAUCUGUUAUACGAAGUAUGCACCGAAUACUUCAGUGGAUUUAGAGGAUUCGUUUUCUAUGUAUGAAAAUAUUCUUUCAGACAACAAUAGUCAGUUUUACUAUUCCUAAUCUAGGGAAAUACAUGACAACAUCAAUGACAAUAUAAAAAGGAAAAAUAUGAUAGAAGAAGAAAAAAUUGAAAUUAGGAACGUCAUGGUGAUUUGUGAAAAUUCCUCGCAUCGGUGGCGGAAGCAAGUCAAAAAACGUCGUCUUCCCACUCUUGCCCGGGAGCGACGUAAUCACUGUCGUCGUCAUAGUCGUCGUCGAGGACAU